UCCCUGGUGGCUCAGAUGGUAAAGCGUCUGCCUGCAAUGCGGGAGACCCGGGUUCAAUUCCCGGGUUGGGAA
Transfer RNA from Ovis aries (sheep), 72 nucleotides. It matches the Rfam family "tRNA". Rfam says of the family: Transfer RNA (tRNA) molecules are approximately 80 nucleotides in length. Their secondary structure includes four short double-helical elements and three loops (D, anti-codon, and T loops). Lineage: Eukaryota; Metazoa; Chordata; Mammalia; Artiodactyla; Bovidae. The record is from Rfam.